AGCAGUCGCCGCGGUAAUACAGAGGGUGCGAGCGUUAAUCGGAUUUACUGGGCGUAAAGCGCACGCAGGCGGUUUGUUAAGUCAGAUGUGAAAUCCCCGAGCUUAACUUGGGAACUGCAUUUGAAACUGGCAAGCUAGAGUCUUGUAGAGGGGGGUAGAAUUCCAGGUGUAGCGGUGAAAUGCGUAGAGAUCUGGAGGAAUACCGGUGGCGAAGGCGGCCCCCUGGACAAAGACUGACGCUCAGGUGCGAAAGCGUGGGGAGCAAACAGGAUUAGAUACCCGUGUAGUCCCUGUCUCCUUAUA
Molecule: ribosomal RNA, 303 nt
Filed under: uncultured bacterium
Lineage: Bacteria
Description: partial 16S ribosomal RNA
Rfam family: Bacterial small subunit ribosomal RNA
Source: RNAcentral